RNAcentral lists this ribosomal RNA (489 nucleotides) under uncultured bacterium. Its description in RNAcentral is "partial 16S ribosomal RNA". It matches the Rfam family "Bacterial small subunit ribosomal RNA", at positions 28 to 507 of the family's 1533-position model. The record is from RNAcentral.
GACGAACGCUGGCGGCGUGCUUAACACAUGCCAGUCGAACGGAAAGGCCCCCAUCUUGGUGGGGGUGCUCGAGUGGCGAACGGGUGAGUAACACGUGGGUGAUCUGCCCUGUACUUCGGGAUAAGCUUGGGAAACUGGGUCUAAUACCGGAUAGGACCAUGGUUUAGUGUCUCAUGGUGGAAAGAUUAUUGUUUUGGUGCAGGAUGAGCUCGCGGCCUAUCAGCUUGUUGGUGGGGUAAUGGCCUACCAAGGCGUCGACGGGUAGCCGGCCUGAGAGGGUGGACGGCCACAUUGGGACUGAGAUACGGCCCAGACUCCUACGGGAGGCAGCAGUGGGGAAUAUUGCACAAUGGGCGCAAGCCUGAUGCAGCGACGCCGCGUGGGGGAUGACGGCCGUCGGGUGGUAAACUCCUUUCGUUAGGGACGAAGCCGCACUUUUUUUGGGUGUGGUGACGGUACCUUUGUUAAGAAGCACCGGCUAACUACGUG